AGCUUUGCGCAGUGGCAGUAUCGUAGCCAAUGAGGUUUAUCCGAGGCGCGAUUAUUGUUAGUUGAAAAACCAGAAUUUAAACCAUCUUAGAUGCAUCAGUUAAAGAAAUAUCUUGGUGGGGCUGGUGAGCU
Molecule: small nuclear RNA, 131 nt
Filed under: Jaculus jaculus (lesser Egyptian jerboa)
Lineage: Eukaryota; Metazoa; Chordata; Mammalia; Rodentia; Dipodidae
Description: U4 spliceosomal RNA (ENSJJAG00000002345.1)
Rfam family: U4 spliceosomal RNA
About the family: U4 small nuclear RNA (U4 snRNA) is a component of the major U2-dependent spliceosome.
Source: Rfam by way of RNAcentral